CAUGAUCCCGCCAUGCCGCGUGAGUGAUUNAGGCCNUAAGGUUGUANAGCUCUUUAACCCGGCAUGAUAAUGACGGUACCCGCAGAAUAAGCCCCGGCUAACUCCGUGCCAGCAGCCGCGGUAAUACGGAGGGGGCUAGCGUUAUUCGGAAUUACUGGGCGUAAAGCGCGCGUAGGCGGUUUGUUAAGUCGGAUGUGAAAGCCCCGGGCUCAACCUCGGAACUGCAUUCGAUACUGGCUCGCUAGAGUGUGGUAGAGGAGAGUGGAAUUCCCAGUGUAGCGGUGAAAUUCGUAGAUAUUUGGAGGAACACCAGUGGCGAAGGCGGCUCCCUGGNCCANCCCUGACGCUCAGGCGCGAAACC
RNAcentral lists this ribosomal RNA (361 nucleotides) under uncultured bacterium. Its description in RNAcentral is "bacterial SSU rRNA". It matches the Rfam family "Bacterial small subunit ribosomal RNA", at positions 382 to 760 of the family's 1533-position model. The record is from RNAcentral.